CCUCUACUUUAACAUGGAGGCACUUGCUGUGCCACGAGAAAUAAGAAAGUGCUUCCAUGUUUGAGUGUGG
This 70-nucleotide microRNA precursor is filed under the name Carlito syrichta (Philippine tarsier). Its description in RNAcentral is "microRNA 302d (ENSTSYG00000021881.2)". It matches the Rfam family "mir-302 microRNA precursor family". The record is from Rfam by way of RNAcentral. Lineage: Eukaryota; Metazoa; Chordata; Mammalia; Primates; Tarsiidae.